This is a long non-coding RNA of Notolabrus celidotus (New Zealand spotty), 193 nucleotides long. RefSeq lists it as uncharacterized. The record is from RefSeq and is a predicted model, not a curated record. NCBI's taxonomy places the organism in Eukaryota, Metazoa, Chordata, Actinopteri, Labriformes, Labridae. The transcript has 3 exons.
AAGAAGAAAACAUUCACGACAGUUGCAGCGGCUUUCUCCGUUUCUGAUUCUCACAUUACUACCCAUGUGUGUACGUGAGUAAAUGCAGUAGAAUAGAUAGAGCUGUAAAAGCUGAGUGUGUUCAAACACCAACUUCACUUCAAAGCAGACUUCCACCAGAUCCGUGUCCGGUCUGUCUCUGAUCCGCUGCAGU